ACAAGAAGAGUGAUGGAAGUUGAAGAAGAAAGGAAACACUGUGUCCAAUGGAAUACCGUGUGAACAUUCAUCUAUAUACUCUGAGACCAGAACUGUAAGACUCAUCGGGAAGAGCGGAGAGUAAGGCUGCCUUACCGACUGGUCUCUUCGGUCCUUGUCACUGUGUGAAUCAUGCUCAUGACAGCUGUCUCCAAGGAUACCGACACUUCAGCAAUUUGACAAGCUCUUCUUAGGCCCGGUAAUACAUGUAUUGAGCCAUAGCCUUCGGUGCGUAAGAGUGAAUGCCAAGAGUAAACGGACAAUGACUAGGAGCAUGCAGAUCUGUACAUGUGUGGGUAUGUGUGCCAGCAUGGCUCCCAUAGGAACAUGU
Echinops telfairi (small Madagascar hedgehog) is the source of this 370-nucleotide long non-coding RNA. RefSeq lists it as uncharacterized. NCBI's taxonomy places the organism in Eukaryota, Metazoa, Chordata, Mammalia, Afrosoricida, Tenrecidae. The record is from RefSeq and is a predicted model, not a curated record. The transcript is spliced from 3 exons.